Molecule: long non-coding RNA, 2546 nt
Organism: Panthera uncia (snow leopard)
Lineage: Eukaryota; Metazoa; Chordata; Mammalia; Carnivora; Felidae
Exons: 2
Source: RefSeq, a predicted model, not a curated record
UAUGACCUGAAAAGAGAACACGCAUGGAAUACUACUGGGUAACAAUUUCUGAAUAUUUUUUACUUGGUCAACAAAUGUUCACUAAGCGCCUAUUCUGUGACAGGUGCUGGGGUUUAGCCAUGGACAGCGAACAAGUUCUCACCCUCAUGAAGUUUAAACUUGCCCUCUCAUUUGGGAAAGACACACUAGAAGCUUUAGGGAGCCUGCACAUUAGACGCCAGCACACUGACCUCAUGGAAGUAACUGAAGCUCAUGGAAGAGCUCAUGGAAGUAACUGAAGACAGAAAAGGUUGAGGACUGGACUCUGGGGCCUCCCCACCCCCGGUCAUAUGUGUAAGAUCCAGCCAAGGAGUUGGCAGAGGGAUGGGAGGGAGGAGAACAAGUGAAGGAAUGUUUCACAGAGGGAGAGACCAACAGCUCAGGUAAAUUAGGACUGAAAAUGACCCUUUGGAUUCAGACACUGUUGCGUUGUGUACACAACCAUGUUAUCUACAACAUACACUGUACCUUUUUAACAGUAAAAAAAAAAUUUUUUAAUGUUUAUUUUUGAGAGAGAGCAUGAGUAGGGGAGGGGCAGAGAAAGAGGGAGACACAGAAUUUGAAGCAGGUUCCAGGCUUAGCUGUCAGCACAGAGCCCGACGCAGGGCUCGAACCCAUGAACUGUGAGAUCAUGACCUGAGCCAAAGUUGGAUGCUUAACCCAUUGACCCACCCAGGUGCCCUACACUAGCCUUUCUAAUUUUUAUACCUUUGAUUUCUUUUUCUUGUCUUAUUGGAUUGACUGGGGCUGCUGGGACAAUACUGAAUAGAAACAUUGAGAGCAGAAAAUUUUUUGUAGCUACUAAGUAUGACAUUAGUACAGACUCUGUGUAAAUAUACCUUCAACUUGAAGACAGGUUUGCUGAAUUGUUUUUGUUUUUGUAGUUUAUUUUGAGAGAGUGAGCAAGUCAGCAAGGGAUGGGGAGAGAACCACCACAAGCAGGCUCCACGCUCUAUCUCACAAACUAAGAUCAUGACCUGAGCUGAAAUCAAGAGUUGGAAGCUUAACCGACUGAGCCACCUAGGUGCCCAGGUUUGUGGAGUUUUUAUCAUGAACACAAAUUUUACCAGAUGCCCUUUCUACAUCUACUUAAAUGAUCUUAUGGUUUUCUGUCUUUAUUCAAUUAUGUGAAUUACACUGAUCCUCCCCCAUCCCCCACUCAGAUAUAAAGCUAGUAAGUGCAGAAAUCCUCAAGAACCUCAGCAUCCAAUGUGGGCAGUGAUGAGUGGACAGACAUCUGUGGGUUCUCUGCCAGGCUGGGUGGACUAUGGUCAUCCUCUCAGCCAGAGCUGCCUCAAGCAGAAAAAAGACCAUCACUGAAUUCUGCAUUAUUUGACUCGUAUGUAUUUACGUGUUUAGUUUUAGUGUUUAGCAUUUUCACCAAAUGCUCUAUAAAGACUGAAGGAAUGUGUAGUGACUCUUAGGUGUAGAUCUAGGCACCAGAUACAUUCUGGGUGGAGAGAAGAAUACAGCCAUUUCUAACAGCAUCAGGAUAGUCCACUAGGCCUUAAAAAGCUGGGUUCUGCCCACUUCCUCUCUGAACUACAACAGGUUUCUGCUUUCUAGGGGCCGGAGACUGGCAUGAGUUCGGAUCUGGAAAUUUUCGGUGAAGGAGCCCCCAUGACAGUCAUUACUGAUCUCCUCGCUCAGCUGCUGACAAAAAAAUGAGGCAGCCAUGGAUCAAGAAAUGGCUUAGUCUGCAGACAAGAGAACAGACAGCCUUGCCCUUACGUCCCGUCAAAAUGACAGCUAAUACACUGCUUGUAAGCUCCAUACUACUUGUUUCCCUUUAUCGAGUGGUUACAGGUCUAGAAUCAAACAGUUCUAACCCUCAGUCUCUGUGAAGGUUGCCUCUGAGGGACUUAGUCAAACCAACUAAUAGAGCUGUCAGACAAUGUGGUUUUGCAAGGAUGCCCCUCUGCCCCCUUUAUCCCACCCCAGCUCACUGCCAGUGUGAGAGUGAGGGCUCUAAAAUGGAGACCAGGACAUCUCCCAUUUUAUGGAUGCCACAGGAGCUGCCCAGGACCCUUGUGACUAUGAGAUUGCUAAUGGUGGAGUGUGGAUCAUGUCACAGCGGGGAGGGCCUUAAUUCUGGUGUGAGCUUUGUUUUCUUGAUAAUAUAAAGGAGAUAAAAGGAUGCAAAGAGAGGGUGCUAGAGAAGGAGUCCAGUUCUGCCUCACCCUGUGAAAACUAUGCUCAUCACUGCAGGCCUCAGUUUCCCUGUCUGUGAAUGCCAGACUGGACUAGAUGGACCCUUUCACAGCCUGACAAUGGUGUGCUCACCAAAAUGCUUAAAAAACUUGACCGGAGGGGCAUCUGGGUGGCUCAGUCAAGUGUCUGACUUCGGCUCAGGUCAUGAUCUCACGGUUUGUGAGUUUAAGCCCUGCAUCGGGCUCUGCUUUGGCAUUGUAGAGCCUGCUUGGGAUACUCUCUCCCUCUCUCCCCUCCUCAGAUUGCACAUGCACUCUCUCUCUCACAAAAUAAACUUAAAAAAAAAAAAAAAAGAA